GAUGGGACAACUUUCCGGAAAAGUUCCAGAUGUUAAAGCAGACAUUAAUGAGAGCCCACCCAGCACUUAUGAAAAUGUGCAUAACAUGAAAACAAUGGAUAACAGUCCUUCUCUUCCAAGUCCCAGCACAGAUCACCAUUACAUGGGUCUUCAGCCUGAAAAGCAGUCAAUCUACCACUCCCUCCAAGGAAAAAUGGCAGCUUAGCAUAAGAUGGAGAAAUGUUUAUAUUGGGACAGUCAUUUGUGAUCACUGGACAGCUCCUUCAGUUGCAGUUAUAGGCAAAAUGCAAUAUUUCUAUGAUUUGUUAUUUUGUUUUAAAAUAUUUAAAGCUACAAUUAUCAGAUAGUUUUUCUAAAGCUGAAACACACAUUUAAAUAUUAGCAAAGUGAAACGACUCUAAUACAUGUUGUCUUUAAUUCCAGCUUCAUGAGUUGUCAUUGCCUACACUUCUUUAAACAACCAUCUUUGUGUUACUAAUUUAUACUUUAGUGACUAAAAAAUUAAAGGUCAUUUUUAAAAUAUGUGUUUCACACUUGGCAGAACACAUUACUGUCUAUAUGUUAGGUGUCUGAGGGGCUUAGAAACUUUGUUUUUAGGGUACCUUGAAGAUCUGGUUUGGAAUCAGACAAUCCAACUGCUGUUUGUGUUUGAUGUGCUUCUCUUUAUAUCAGACCACAGAGAA
Long non-coding RNA from Polypterus senegalus (gray bichir), 683 nucleotides. RefSeq lists it as uncharacterized. The record is from RefSeq and is a predicted model, not a curated record. The transcript is spliced from 4 exons. Lineage: Eukaryota; Metazoa; Chordata; Cladistia; Polypteriformes; Polypteridae.